This is a long non-coding RNA of Plectropomus leopardus (leopard coralgrouper), 506 nucleotides long. RefSeq lists it as uncharacterized. The record is from RefSeq and is a predicted model, not a curated record. Lineage: Eukaryota; Metazoa; Chordata; Actinopteri; Perciformes; Serranidae.
CUGCAUUUUCACAAUUCCUACAUUCAGGGUUACACGGAAACGCAUCUCUUCCAGCCUGCAGUUUUCUGGUAAUUGUUGCUUUCUCUGUGCCCCGCGCUCCUACUCACUGCUUCCGCUUCUGUUCAAACACGAUUCGGGUUGUUUCAGCAAAUGUUACCGUGGACACAGAAACUUUCCUCCCGGCCCGCCCUGCUGCACCGAAGGACCAAAUUCCCAUAGAAAGCUUCUUCGGGACUUCCGUUUAAAUGCGGCGGGUUAUGUGUAGAGAACUGUUGAGCUAAGUGAGCACUGUUCACAUUUCACCUCAGCCAUUUUUGACAUAAAGAAGAUGUUCGUGCAAGACUCCCCCGAGGAAGCUGCUGAGGAGUCAGACUGAAGUUUAGAUGAUAUUCGCUGGUUGUCCACAGGAUGUCGCCCUGCCCCCACAAAAUCACUCAGGAGGCUGUGGGGUUGAGCAGAAAGGUGCUUAUCCUUGACCUUGCAGCACCCUUUCCACAGGGCACCAA